UACGGAGGGUGCAAGCGUUAUCCGGAUUCACUGGGUUUAAAGGGUGCGUAGGAGGACUGGUAAGUCAGUGGUGAAAUCCCCGAGCUUAACUUGGGAACUGCCGUUGAUACUAUCUGUCUUGAAUACCGUGGAGGUGAGCGGAAUAUGUCAUGUAGCGGUGAAAUGCUUAGAUAUGACGUAGAACACCAAUUGCGAAGGCAGCUCACUACGCGAAUAUUGACACUGAGGCACGAAAGCGUGGGGAUCAAACAGG
RNAcentral lists this ribosomal RNA (253 nucleotides) under uncultured bacterium. RNAcentral describes it as "partial 16S ribosomal RNA". It matches the Rfam family "Bacterial small subunit ribosomal RNA", at positions 524 to 776 of the family's 1533-position model. The record is from RNAcentral.